Molecule: small nuclear RNA, 284 nt
Filed under: Erinaceus europaeus (western European hedgehog)
Lineage: Eukaryota; Metazoa; Chordata; Mammalia; Eulipotyphla; Erinaceidae
Description: 7SK RNA
Rfam family: 7SK RNA
About the family: 7SK was discovered as an abundant small nuclear RNA in the mid-70s but a possible function has only recently been suggested.
Source: Rfam by way of RNAcentral
GGAUACGAGGGUGAUCUGGCUGUGACAUAUCACCCCAUUGAUCUCCAGGGUUGACACCAGGUGGGUGUCCCCUUCCUCUCUCACCACUCCAUGUGCGCCCCUCCUGAAGCUGUGUGCUUGGUUGAAAGGGACAAUCUUCCCCAAACAGAGAUGGACCAGACUUCAGUGAAGGGUAUCAGAGUAGCUACGCUCUCCUGCUAGAACCUCCAAACAAGCUCUCAAGGAAUAGAGAAGGAGUUCCAAAAACCCACCCUAGGCUCCAUUUUAAGCUAAAGGGUCUUUUG